AUUGAACGCUGGCGGAAUGCUUUACACAUGCAAGUCGAACGGCAGCACGGACUUCGGUCUGGUGGCGAGUGGCGAACGGGUGAGUAAUGUAUCGGAACGUGCCCAGUCGUGGGGGAUAACGUAGUGAAAAUUACGCUAAUACCGCAUACGAUCUAUGGAUGAAAGCGGGGGAUCGCAAGACCUCGCGCGAUUGGAGCGGCCGAUAUCAGAUUAGGUAGUUGGUGGGGUAAAGGCCCACCAAGCCAACGAUCUGUAGCUGGUCUGAGAGGUCGACCAGCCACACUGGAACUGAGACACGGUCCAGACUCCGACGGGAGGCAGCAGUGGGGAAUUUUGAACAAGGGGCGAAAGCCUGAUCCAGCCAUUCCGCGUGCAGGAUGAAGGCCCUCGGGUUGUAAACUGCUUUUGUACAGAACGAAAAGGUUUCUACUAAUACUAGGAGCUCAUGACGGUACUGUAAGAAUAAGCACCGGCUAACUACGUGCCAGCCGCCGCCGUAA
Molecule: ribosomal RNA, 500 nt
Filed under: uncultured bacterium
Lineage: Bacteria
Description: partial 16S ribosomal RNA
Rfam family: Bacterial small subunit ribosomal RNA
Source: RNAcentral